AUUUAUUUAGUAUAAAUUAAAAGUACAUUUAGUUUCCACCUAAAAAGUUUAAAUGAAAAAUAAAUA
Molecule: transfer RNA, 66 nt
Filed under: Opilio parietinus
Lineage: Eukaryota; Metazoa; Arthropoda; Arachnida; Opiliones; Phalangiidae
Description: tRNA-Gly
Source: RNAcentral